Molecule: ribosomal RNA, 253 nt
Filed under: uncultured bacterium
Lineage: Bacteria
Description: partial 16S ribosomal RNA
Rfam family: Bacterial small subunit ribosomal RNA
Source: RNAcentral
UACGAAGGGUGCUAGCGUUGUUCGGAGUCACUGGGCGUAAAGCGUGCGUAGGCGGCCAUUCAAGCCAGAGGUGAAAGCCUGGAGCUUAACUCCAGAAUUGCCUUUGGAACUGUAUGGCUAGAGUGUCGGAGGGGAUAGCGGAAUUUCUAAUGUAGCGGUGAAAUGCGUAGAUAUUAGAAGGAACACCGGUGGCGAAGGCGGCUAUCUGGACGACAACUGACGCUGAGGCACGAAAGCGUGGGGAGCAAACAGG